GUGCAAUGGCGUUACUGGAAAGGUUACCUCUAACACGUCGUUUGGUCAAAGCGUCAGUUGCUAUGGAAACCGAAGCGCUGGUGAAUGGCAGAAAGGUUUCUCCCACGAAUCACGUCGCUAAUUAUCAAUCGACUAACGGUAAUGCUUCGAAAUCGGAAAUGUCACAAAAUGCCAGCGAAAACAAGGAAGAUAAUCAAACGUAUUCCGUAGAAACGUCAGAAGAAGGAUUGACCACUCUCGGUGAUUUAUCCGGUAAGUCUCAAAUUGAUCUCACGCCUUAUCGUUUCGUCUCUCUAUGGUUCGAAUUACUACUCAUAGAUGGCAGCAAAACAAACGUCAAUUUAAAUUUAACACAAGUUCACAUUGUUACGUUCAAAAUACUUUCGGUGUUUAAUUAUAUACAAUUUUUUCUAUAUUGAUUUAUCGUCGUAUUUAUAG
RNAcentral lists this unclassified non-coding RNA (438 nucleotides) under Centruroides sculpturatus (bark scorpion). Its description in RNAcentral is "uncharacterized LOC111629985, transcript variant X3". The record is from RNAcentral. Lineage: Eukaryota; Metazoa; Arthropoda; Arachnida; Scorpiones; Buthidae.